Molecule: ribosomal RNA, 433 nt
Filed under: uncultured bacterium
Lineage: Bacteria
Description: partial 16S ribosomal RNA
Rfam family: Bacterial small subunit ribosomal RNA
Source: RNAcentral
AACGAACGCUGGCGGCAGGCCUAACACAUGCAAGUCGAGCGCGCCCUUCGGGGUGAGCGGCGGACGGGUGAGUAACGCGUGGGAACGUGCCCUUUUCUACGGAAUAGCCUCGGGAAACUGAGAGUAAUACCGUAUACGCCCUUUGGGGGAAAGAUUUAUCGGAAAAGGAUCGGCCCGCGUUGGAUUAGGUAGUUGGUGGGGUAAUGGCCUACCAAGCCGACGAUCCAUAGCUGGUUUGAGAGGAUGAUCAGCCACACUGGGACUGAGACACGGCCCAGACUCCUACGGGAGGCAGGAGUGGGGAAUCUUAGACAAUGGGGGCAACCCUGAUCUAGCCAUGCCGCGUGAGUGAUGAAGGCCCUAGGGUUGUAAAGCUCUUUCAGCUGGGAAGAUAAUGACGGUACCAGCAGAAGAAGCCCCGGCUAACUCCGUG